UACGUAGGGUGCAAGCGUUAUCCGGAAUUAUUGGGCGUAAAGAGCUCGUAGGCGGUCUGUCACGUCGGCUGUGAAAACUCGGGGCUCAACCCCGAGCCUGCAGUCGAUACGGGCAGACUAGAGUGCUGUAGGGGAGACUGGAAUUCCUGGUGUAGCGGUGAAAUGCGCAGAUAUCAGGAGGAACACCGGUGGCGAAGGCGGGUCUCUGGGCGAGUAACUGACGCUGGAGGAGCGAAAGCGUGGGGGAGCAAACAGG
Molecule: ribosomal RNA, 256 nt
Filed under: uncultured bacterium
Lineage: Bacteria
Description: partial 16S ribosomal RNA
Rfam family: Bacterial small subunit ribosomal RNA
Source: RNAcentral